UCCUGGCUCAGAAUCAACGCUGGCGGCGUGCCUAACACAUGCAAGUCGAACGAGAAAGGGUAGCAAUACCUGAGUAAAGUGGCGCACGGGUGAGUAACACGUGACUAACCUACCCUGGAGUGGGGGAUAACUGAGGGAAACCUUAGCUAAUACCGCAUAACACCUACGGGUCAAAGGAGCAAUUCGCUUCAGGAGGGGGUCGCGGCCGAUUAGUUAGUUGGCGGGGUAAUGGCCCACCAAGACUGUGAUCGGUAUCCGGCCUGAGAGGGCGCACGGACACACUGGAACUGAAACACGGUCCAGACUCCUACGGGAGGCAGCAGUGGGGAAUUUUGCGCAAUGGGGGAAACCCUGACGCAGC
RNAcentral lists this ribosomal RNA (361 nucleotides) under uncultured Acidobacteriota bacterium. RNAcentral describes it as "bacterial SSU rRNA". It matches the Rfam family "Bacterial small subunit ribosomal RNA", at positions 17 to 392 of the family's 1533-position model. The record is from RNAcentral. Lineage: Bacteria; Pseudomonadati; Acidobacteriota.